This 2889-nucleotide long non-coding RNA is filed under the name Salmo salar (Atlantic salmon). Its description in RNAcentral is "lncRNA (ENSSSAG00000111723.1)". Lineage: Eukaryota; Metazoa; Chordata; Actinopteri; Salmoniformes; Salmonidae. The record is from RNAcentral.
AACAGGACUAAUACAACAGGACUGAUACAACAGGACUGAUACAACAGGACUGAUACAACAGGACUGAUACAACAGGACUGAUACAACAGGACUGAUACAACAGGACUAAUACAACAGGACUGAUACAACAGGACUGAUACAGGACUAAUACCACAGGACUGAUACAGGACUGAUACAACAGGACUGAUACAACAGGACUAAUACAACAGGAGUGAUACAACAGGACUAAUACAGGACUGAUACAGAACUGAUGCAGGACUGAUACAACAGGACUAAUACAACAGGACUGAUACAACAGGACUGAUACAACAGGACUGAUACAACAGGACUAAUACAACAGGACUGAUACAACAGGACUGAUACAACAGGACUGAUACAACAGGACAAACACAACAGGACUGAUACAACAGGACUGAUACAGGACUGAUACAACAGGACUGAUACAACAGGACUAAUACAACAGGACUGAUACAACAGGACUAAUACAACAGGACUGAUACAGGACUGAUACAGGACUGAUACAACAGGACUAAUACAACUGGACUGAUACAACAGGACUGAUACAGGACUGAUACAGGACUGAUACAGGACUGAUACAACAGGACUGAUACUGGACAAAUACAACAGAACUGAUACAGCUGGACUAAUACAACAGGACUAAUACAACAGGACUAAUACAACAGGACUGAUACAACUGGACUGAUACAACAGGACUAAUACAACAGGACUGGUACAGGACUAAUACCACAGGACUGAUACAACAGGACUGAUACAGGACUGAUACAGGACUAAUACCACAGGACUGAUACAACAGGACUAAUACCACAGGACUGAUACAACAGGACUGGUACAGGACUAAUACCACAGGACUGAUACAACAGGACUGAUACAACAGGACUGAUACAACAGGACUAAUACAACAGGACUGAUACAGGACUGAUACAACAGGACUAAUACAACAGGACUAAUACAACAGGACUGAUACAGGACUGAUACAACAGGACUGAUACAACAGGACUAAUACCACAGGACUGAUACAACAGGACUGAUACAACAGGACUGGUACAACAGGACUGAUACAACAGGACUGAUACAACAGGACUAAUACCACAGGACUGAUACAACAGGACUGAUACAACAGGACUAAUACAACAGGACUGAUACAGGACUGAUACAACAGGACUAAUACAACAGGACUGAUACAACAGGACUGAUACAACGGGACUGAUACAGGACUGAUACAGAACUGAUACAGGACUGAUACAACAGGACUAAUACAACAGGACUAAUACAACAGAACUGAUACAACAGGACUGAUACAACAGGACUGAUACAACAGGACUGAUACAACAGGACUGAUACAGGACUGAUACAACAGGACUGAUACCACAGGACUGAUACCACAGGACUGAUACCACAGGACUGAUACAACAGGACUGAUACAACAGGACUGAUACAACAGGACUAAUACAACAGGACUGAUACAGAACUGAUACAACAGGACUAAUACAGGACUGAUACAGAACUGAUACAGGACUGAUACAGCAGGACUAAUACAACAGGACUGAUACAACAGGACUGAUACAACAGGACUGAUACAACAGGACUGAUACAGGACUGAUACAACAGGACUGAUACCACAGGACUGAUACCACAGGACUGAUACCACAGGACUGAUACAACAGGACUGAUACAACAGGACUAAUACAACAGGACUGAUACAGAACUGAUACAACAGGACUAAUACAGGACUGAUACAGAACUGAUGCAGGACUGAUACAACAGGACUAAUACAACAGGACUGAUACAACAGGACUGAUACAACAGGACUGAUACAACAGGACUGAUAAAGGACUAAUACCACAGGACUGAUACAACAGGACUGAUACAACAGGACUAAUACAACAGGACUGAUACAACAGGACUGAUACAGGACUGAUACAACAGGACUGAUACAACAGGACUGAUACAACAGGACUAAUACAACAGGACUGAUACAACAGGACUGAUACAACAGGACUAAUACAACAGGACUGAUACAACAGGACUGAUAUAGGACUGAUACAUGACUGAUACAACAGGACUGAUACAGGACUGAUACAACAGGACUGAUACAACAGGACUAUUACAAAAGGACUGAUACAGGACUGAUACAACAGGACUGAUACAGGACUGAUACAACAGGACUGAUACAACAGGACUGAUACAACAGGACUGAUAAAGGACUAAUACAACAGGACUGAUACAACAGGACUGAUACAACAGGACUAAUACAACAGGACUGAUACAACAGGACUGAUACAACAUGACUGAUACAACAGGACUGAUACAGGACUGAUACAACAGGACUAAUACAAAAGGACUGAUACAACAGGACUGAUACAGGACUGAUACAACAGGACUGAUACAGGACUGAUACAACAGGACUGAUACAACAGGACUGAUACAACAGGACUGAUACAGGACUGAUACAGGACUAAUACAACAGGACUAAUACAACAGGACUGAUACAGGACUGAUACAACAGGACUAAUACAACAGGACUGAUACAACAGGACUGAUACAACAGGACUGAUACAACAGGACUGAUACAACAGGACUGAUACAGGACUGAUACAGGACUGAUACAGGACUGAUACAGGACUAAUACAACAGGACUGAUACAGGACUGAUACAACAGGACUAAUACAACAGGACUGAUACAACAGGACUGAUACAACAGGACUGAUACAACAGGACUGAUACAACAGGACUAUUACAACAGGACUGAUACAACAGGACUGAUACAACAGGACUGAUACAACAGGACUGAUACAACAGGACUAAUACAACAGGACUGAUACAACAGGACUGAUACAGGACUGAUACAACAGGACUGAUACAACAGGA